Salmo salar (Atlantic salmon) is the source of this 286-nucleotide non-coding RNA. The record is from RefSeq and is a predicted model, not a curated record. Lineage: Eukaryota; Metazoa; Chordata; Actinopteri; Salmoniformes; Salmonidae.
GAGAGAGGAGGUCCCUCCAGUCCUUCAACACCAGAUACUACAACUGGCCCUUGACCUGCCGGCCAGCAGAUUCUCCUGGUUCAGAGUUCAGGAUCAUGUGGAGACAGGCUCUGGGGAGAUGUCUGUGUUCUUCUUGCUCCUCAAGAUGUUUGUGAGCAGCACCAACAGCCACCUGAAGAUCUCCACCAAGAAACUGGUGGUGAAGGUGCUGAAGGACAGUGGAGUGUUUGAGCACACCUGGUCUGAGCUGGAGCUGUGGCUGAACCACCUGGACAGACUACAAACC